This 496-nucleotide ribosomal RNA is filed under the name uncultured bacterium. Its description in RNAcentral is "bacterial SSU rRNA". It matches the Rfam family "Bacterial small subunit ribosomal RNA", at positions 29 to 518 of the family's 1533-position model. The record is from RNAcentral.
AUGAACGCUAGCGACAGGCUAACACAUGCAAGUCGAGGGGUAACAGGGUAGCAAUACCGCUGACGACCGGCGCACGGGUGAGUAACGCGUAUGCAACCUGCCUAUAACUGGGGAAUAGCUCCCUGAAAGGGGAAUUAACACCGCAUAACACUAUUGAUUCGCAUGGAUUAGUAGUUAAAUGUAGCGAUACAGGUUAUAGAUGGGCAUGCGUGACAUUAGCUAGUUGGUGAGGUAACGGCUCACCAAGGCUACGAUGUCUAGGGGUUCUGAGAGGAAGGUCCCCCACACUGGUACUGAGACACGGACCAGACUCCUACGGGAGGCAGCAGUGAGGAAUAUUGGUCAAUGGGCGCAAGCCUGAACCAGCCAUGUCGCGUGCAGGAAGACUCGCCCUAUGGGUUGUAAACUGCUUUUAUAGUAGAAGAAACACAUCUACGAGUAGAUGUCUGCCAGUAUACUAUGAAUAAGCAUCGGCUAACUCCGUGCCAGCCGCAGC